Molecule: small RNA, 27 nt
Filed under: Bombyx mori (domestic silkworm)
Lineage: Eukaryota; Metazoa; Arthropoda; Insecta; Lepidoptera; Bombycidae
Description: ovarian small RNA-25029
Source: RNAcentral
UCACAGUGGUAUGGGGGCAGACGUAAA